This 793-nucleotide ribosomal RNA is filed under the name Corynebacterium sp. HODAZ8. RNAcentral's name for it is "partial 16S ribosomal RNA". The stretch from base 1 to 220 matches the Rfam family "Bacterial small subunit ribosomal RNA", at positions 1206 to 1533 of the family's 1533-position model. Lineage: Bacteria; Bacillati; Actinomycetota; Actinomycetes; Mycobacteriales; Corynebacteriaceae. The record is from RNAcentral.
UAUUCGGGCUUAACAUGCUACAAUGGUCGGUACAGUGGGUUGCUACACCGCCAGUUGGUGCUAAUCCGCUUUAAAGCCGGCCUCAGAUUCGGAUUGAAGUUUGCAAAUCGACUCCAUGAAGUCGGAGUCCCUAGUAUUCGUAGAUCAGCAACGUUCGGUUAAUACGUUCCCGGGCCUUGUAAAAACGGCCCUUCACGUCCGGGUAGUGGCCACCCCCCCCGCCCCCUGGCCCUCUUUCGUCUGGGGAAAAUAGGACCCGUUUUUUUUGAAAUCCCACCCAGCCCCCUUAUAAUAGGNUGNGNUUUGGAAUAUUGUACAAUGGGCGCGAGUUUGAUCCAGCAACACCGCGUUGGGGGAUGUCCGCCCUUCUAGUUUAAAACUCCCUUUCCACCAUGGACGAAGCUUUUUUUUUGCCAUGGUGUUAGAAAAAACCUAUCGGUUAAAAAAUUUUUCUUUUGUUAGUCUUCAGUAUUGUUUAAGUACGUAGGUUUGUAUCCUCGAAUCACUUGUGCCGGAAAAGAAAAUACUUUUUUUUUGUUGUUGGUUUCGUGCGUAUUUCCCAUUUAUUCUGUUUUUUUUUUUUAGAGGUUGUCCGAGGUGCUAGUAUGUUCUUUAAAGUGUAUGGGGUCCUGAUGUAUAGAAUGUAUUGAGACGUAAUUUGUUGUUGGGUGCAGCCCGUUAUUUUUUGGUACUUCCUGUUGUAGGCAGUAGUUUUUAUUGAGGUUGCGAGUGGUCGUUCAUUUUACUUUGUUAUCCUAUCUUUACUGUUAUUAUGUUUUUAUUUCUGUCACUG